This 283-nucleotide long non-coding RNA is filed under the name Salvia miltiorrhiza (redroot sage). RNAcentral's name for it is "long non-coding RNA (SMIL_LNC009574)". Lineage: Eukaryota; Viridiplantae; Streptophyta; Magnoliopsida; Lamiales; Lamiaceae. The record is from RNAcentral.
CACCGCACAGCCACCACCACCGCGACGCACAACGCCUCUUUCUCAUCUCCUCCGGCGACCACAACUCCUGCUACAGCCGCCGCCCUCAACAACUCUCCCUCUCUGCUCGAGCUCCGGCGCCUGAGCCCUAGCUCCCCCAAAUCCAGUCGCCCUCACCCUACCCUUAUCUCUCUCCGGCGAAGAGAAGCCAGAUCCGCCGGCCAUCCAGACUCUCUCAAUCUCUCUCUCUCGACAGAUCUCUCUCUCAAUUCGAUGCCACACUCUCUUCUCCUUCAGGUACUGA